This 407-nucleotide ribosomal RNA is filed under the name uncultured bacterium. RNAcentral describes it as "partial 16S ribosomal RNA". It matches the Rfam family "Bacterial small subunit ribosomal RNA", at positions 29 to 526 of the family's 1533-position model. The record is from RNAcentral.
AGUGAACGCUGGCGGCGUGCCUAAUACAUGCAAGUCGAACGAAGUGGCGCACGGGUGAGUAAUAUAUAGUUAAUCCGCCCUACACAGAGGAACAACAGUCGGAAACGACUGCUAAAACCCGAUAGUGUAGGAUGAGACUAUAUCGUAUCAGCUGGUUGGUAAGGUAAUGGCUUAACAAGGCUAUGACGCGUAACUGGUCUGAGAGGAUGAUCAGUGACUUUGGACGUGGGACGCAGUCCGAACUCCUACGCAAGGCAGGAGUAAGGGAUAUUGCGCAGUGGGGGAAACCCUGAAGCAGCAACGCCUCGUGGAGGAUGACACUUUUCAGAGCGUAAACGCCUUUUAUCAGGAAAGCGGUACCUGAUGAAUAGGCACCGGCUAACUCCGUGCCAGCACCGCGGUAAUUC